GAUGAACGCUGGCGGCGUGCCUAAUACAUGCAAGUCGAGCGAACGGACGAGAAGCUUGCUUCUCUGAUGUUAGCGGCGGACGGGUGAGUAACACGUGGAUAACCUACCUAUAAGACUGGGAUAUCUUCGGGAAACCGGAGCUAAUACCGGAUGAUAUUUUGAACCGCAUGGUUCAAAAGUGAAAGACGGUCUUGCUGUCACUUAUAGAUGGAUCCGCGCUGCAUUAGCUAGUUGGUAAGGUAACGGCUUACCAAGGCAACGAUGCAUAGCCGACCUGAGAGGGUGAUCGGCCACACUGGAACUGAGACACGGUCCAGACUCCUACGGGAGGCAGCAGUAGGGAAUCUUCCGCAAUGGGCGAAAGCCUGACGGAGCAACGCCGCGUGAGUGAUGAAGGUCUUCGGAUCGUAAAACUCUGUUAUUAGGGAAGAACAUAUGUGUAAGUAACUGUGCACAUCUGGACGGUACCUAAUCAGAAAGCCACGGCUAACUACGU
This 496-nucleotide ribosomal RNA is filed under the name uncultured bacterium. RNAcentral describes it as "partial 16S ribosomal RNA". It matches the Rfam family "Bacterial small subunit ribosomal RNA", at positions 28 to 506 of the family's 1533-position model. The record is from RNAcentral.